AUGGGCAAGAACCUGGCUUUUGAGAAUACCAUAACUAUGGAGGAAUUGAUCUGGUCGCAUGCAGUAAUAAAAAGACAUGAAUCCUUUUCCUCAGAUGGGAAAGAUGUUUGUGGCAUGGAUGGUAUGGAUAAUGUGCUGGAGGUUGAUGCGAGGGAGGAAGGAGCACGCGAAAGACUUAAUUUGUUCUUAUGAGGAUACAGUACUG
This 205-nucleotide long non-coding RNA is filed under the name Populus trichocarpa (black cottonwood). RNAcentral's name for it is "long non-coding RNA (PTRI_LNC004612)". The record is from RNAcentral. Lineage: Eukaryota; Viridiplantae; Streptophyta; Magnoliopsida; Malpighiales; Salicaceae.